GCAGCAGCCGCGGGAACACGGAGGGUGCAAGCGUUAUCCGGAUUCACUGGGUUUAAAGGGUGCGUAGGCGGAUCUGUAAGUCAGUGGUGAAAUCUCCAGGCUUAACCUGGAAACUGCCGUUGAUACUAUAGGUCUUGAAUUUUGUGGAGGUUAGCGGAAUAUGUCAUGUAGCGGUGAAAUGCAUAGAUAUGACAUAGAACACCAAUUGCGAAGGCAGCUGGCUACACAACUAUUGACGCUGAGGCACGAAAGCGUGGGGAUCAAACAGGAUUAGAUACCCGGGUAGUCCCUGUCUCUUAUAA
Molecule: ribosomal RNA, 302 nt
Filed under: uncultured bacterium
Lineage: Bacteria
Description: partial 16S ribosomal RNA
Rfam family: Bacterial small subunit ribosomal RNA
Source: RNAcentral